GUGGUACUCCUUCCGUUUGGAAUUAUUUGUCGCAAAAAUGGAUGUAUCUAGAUGUAUUUUAGUUCUAAAUACAUCCAUUUUCGAGACAAAUAAUUCCGAACGGAGGAAAUACGUA
Molecule: non-coding RNA, 115 nt
Organism: Triticum urartu
Lineage: Eukaryota; Viridiplantae; Streptophyta; Magnoliopsida; Poales; Poaceae
Source: Rfam